UGUCCCUUGUGUGAGGAAUUAACACGCAUGCGCAAAGACUACAACGCAUGGUUUAAAUAGGCGGCUUCCCUUCUCCGAUCUCUCUUUUCUCAGUCGAACUCUGGCAUGCUGUGCACGUGUUCCUUUGGUCCAGCCAUGUUUAACCCGGGUGCAAGUGGAUGGAAAGUUCUAGAACAACGAAGUGGCUACAAGAUCACGGGUGUACCCAGUCCCCAAAGAGGCCUGCUUGAAGACAUGGCAGUUGCACAUCUCUGUGUUUCUGUGUGCUGAGAAUUCAUGGCUACCUCAGCUGAGAUUUGAUGCAGUCAUGUGGAUGGCUUAUUUGUGAUAAUGGUCUACUGACGAGAAUCGAAGACACCAGUGGCAUGUCGAGCCCAGUAUGUGCGGAUACAGUCACCUGGAGGGCUUAUUUGUUAUAAUGGUCUACUGAUAGACUUGAAGACCACCAGUGGCAUGUCGCACCCAGUAUGUGCAGAUACAGUCACCUGGAGGGCUUAUUUGUGAUAAUGGUCUACUGACGAGAAUCGUACGACAUAGUUGACUCCACCAGGCUGUCUGUAGGAUGCGGCCAUGUCAGUCCCCAGGGGACCUUGAGUCUGGACACCAGUGAAUUGAUGUGGUGGCCACGCCUCCUGUACUGUGACUUCAUCUGAUAUUUGCAAGACUUUGCACAAGUCAAUUUAUAAGACUUGUACUUUCAUAUAUAUUUUUUUUGUGAAUUGCAUGUCAUGCUUUAGAAAAAGCAGUGGAAUAAAACUU
Long non-coding RNA from Clupea harengus (Atlantic herring), 759 nucleotides. NCBI's taxonomy places the organism in Eukaryota, Metazoa, Chordata, Actinopteri, Clupeiformes, Clupeidae. The record is from Ensembl.